RNAcentral lists this ribosomal RNA (497 nucleotides) under uncultured bacterium. RNAcentral's name for it is "partial 16S ribosomal RNA". It matches the Rfam family "Bacterial small subunit ribosomal RNA", at positions 28 to 507 of the family's 1533-position model. The record is from RNAcentral.
GACGAACGCUGGCGGCGCGCCUAAUACAUGCCAGUUGAGCGCUGAAGGUUGGUACUUGUACCGACUGGAUGAGCAGCGAACGGGUGAGUAACGCGUGGGGAAUCUGCCUUUGAGCGGGGGACAACAUUUGGAAACGAAUGCUAAUACCGCAUAAAAACUUUAAACACAAGUUUUAAGUUUGAAAGAUGCAAUUGCAUCACUCAAAGAUGAUCCCGCGUUGUAUUAGCUAGUUGGUGAGGUAAAGGCUCACCAAGGCGAUGAUACAUAGCCGACCUGAGAGGGUGAUCGGCCACAUUGGGACUGAGACACGGCCCAAACUCCUACGGGAGGCAGCAGUAGGGAAUCUUCGGCAAUGGACGAAAGUCUGACCGAGCAACGCCGCGUGAGUGAAGAAGGUUUUCGGAUCGUAAAACUCUGUUGGUAGAGAAGAACGUUGGUGAGAGUGGAAAGCUCAUCAAGUGACGGUAACUACCCAGAAAGGGACGGCUAACUACGUG